UAGGGAAUCUUCCGCAAUGGGCGAAAGCCUGACGGAGCAACGCCGCGUGAGUGAUGAAGGUCUUCGGAUCGUAAAACUCUGUUAUUAGGGAAGAACAAAUGUGUAAGUAACUAUGCACGUCUUGACGGUACCUAAUCAGAAAGCCACGGCUAACUACGUGCCAGCAGCCGCGGUAAUACGUAGGUGGCAAGCGUUAUCCGGAAUUAUUGGGCGUAAAGCGCGCGUAGGCGGUUUUUUAAGUCUGAUGUGAAAGCCCACGGCUCAACCGUGGAGGGUCAUUGGAAACUGGAAGACUUGAGUGCAGAAGAGGAAAGUGGAAUUCCAUGGGUAGCGGUGAAAUGCGCAGAGAUAUGGAGGAACACCAGUGGCGAAGGCGACUUUCUGGUCUGUAACUGACGCUGAUGUGCGAAAGCGUGGGGAUCAAACAGG
This 429-nucleotide ribosomal RNA is filed under the name Actinomycetes bacterium. Its description in RNAcentral is "Actinobacteria bacterium partial 16S ribosomal RNA". It matches the Rfam family "Bacterial small subunit ribosomal RNA", at positions 355 to 776 of the family's 1533-position model. The record is from RNAcentral. Lineage: Bacteria; Bacillati; Actinomycetota; Actinomycetes.